UAUUUAGGUAGCGCCUCGUGAACUCAUCUUCGGGGGUAGAGCACUGUUUCGGCUAGGGGGUCAUCCCGACUUACCAACCCGAUGCAAACUACGAAUACCGAAGAAUGUUAUCACGGGAGACACACGGCGGGUGCUAACGUCCGUCGUGAAGAGGGAAACAACCCAGACCGCCAGCUAAGGUCCCAAAGUCAUGGUUAAGUGGGAAACGAUGUGGGAAGGCACAGACAGCCAGGAUGUUGGCUUAGAAGCAGCCAUCAUUUAAAGAAAGCGUAAUAGUUC
This 279-nucleotide ribosomal RNA is filed under the name Acinetobacter baumannii. RNAcentral describes it as "partial 23S ribosomal RNA". It matches the Rfam family "Bacterial large subunit ribosomal RNA", at positions 867 to 1143 of the family's 2925-position model. The record is from RNAcentral. Lineage: Bacteria; Pseudomonadati; Pseudomonadota; Gammaproteobacteria; Moraxellales; Moraxellaceae.